AAAGGUCCUUUGGAGGCCAGCGCUCAGAGGAUUUGUUCCCGAGAGGACUCUGCAGUGUCCAAGCGCACCACAGACAGUGGCCUUGGCCCAGAAUCUGGAGAUGCAACAGCGCCGUUAUCUGGGGCAGGGUCUGCAAAAUUUCUACCAUUAAGAGGAAGUGGAGAGGCAGGAUUCCCAUGAAAUCCUGGAGCAGCUGCUCAGUCAGGGAAUCAUCCCAGCACCCCCCAUCCUUGGAGAGACUGGGAAGGCCUACAGUGUGAUGGUGCCCCAUCCCCUGCAUGUGGGAGACACAGGGAAGCCCUUGCGAAGACCACCUGCACGUCUGGAAUCCCUGAAGACCAGGAGCGGACAGCAAAUCACCAAGGAGGAUAUUGAGACCAGGAUGAUGAGAGCAGAAGAGCGACGGAAGGCUCAGGAAGAGAUGCUGAAGCAGAAGCUCAGAGCAAAGUCUGCACGGUUCUGUGAUGCCACCAGACCCAAAGAGCAGGAGCAGCAGGAGGAGGAAAAGGAAAACAGUCUUGACAGACGAAACAUGCCUGCUUCCAGUGAACCCCGUGAUGACAGGUCCCUCACGUUGACGUCUCAGUCAACAGAGCAGCACAGACACAAGGGCAGCUACAAGGGAGAAGGGGAGGAGACAGAAAAUUUCAUUGCCUAUGUAGAGAGUGAUGGCACCUUUAAACAGGUUUGGUCUGUGCAAAAGCAUGAUGAUGAUGACAAUGAUGAUUUUUUUCAGUCCUAA
Molecule: long non-coding RNA, 742 nt
Filed under: Scleropages formosus (Asian bonytongue)
Lineage: Eukaryota; Metazoa; Chordata; Actinopteri; Osteoglossiformes; Osteoglossidae
Description: lncRNA (ENSSFOG00015028691.1)
Source: RNAcentral